GAUGAACGCUGGCGGCGUGCCUAAUACAUGCAAGUCGAGCGAACGGACGAGAAGCUUGCUUCUCUGAUGUUAGCGGGGACGGGUGAGUAACACGUGGAUACCUACCUAUAAGACUGGGAUAACUUCGGGAAACCGUAGCUAAUACCGGAUAAUAUUUUGAACCGCAUGGUUCAAAAGUGAAAGACGGUCUUGCUGUCACUUAUAGAUGGAUCCGCGCUGCAUUAGCUAGUUGGUAAGGUAACGGCUUACCAAGGCAACGAUGCAUAGCCGACCUGAGAGGGUGAUCGGCCACACUGGAACUGAGACACGGUCCAGACUCCUACGGGAGGCAGCAGUAGGGAAUCUUCCGCAAUGGGCGAAAGCCUGACGGAGCAACGCCGCGUGAGUGAUGAAGGUCUUCGGAUCGUAAAACUCUGUUAUUAGGGAAGAACAUAUGUGUAAGUAACUGUGCACAUCUUGACGGUACCUAAUCAGAAAGCCACGGCUAACUACGUG
This 495-nucleotide ribosomal RNA is filed under the name uncultured bacterium. Its description in RNAcentral is "partial 16S ribosomal RNA". It matches the Rfam family "Bacterial small subunit ribosomal RNA", at positions 28 to 507 of the family's 1533-position model. The record is from RNAcentral.